This 468-nucleotide ribosomal RNA is filed under the name uncultured bacterium. RNAcentral describes it as "partial 16S ribosomal RNA". It matches the Rfam family "Bacterial small subunit ribosomal RNA", at positions 28 to 507 of the family's 1533-position model. The record is from RNAcentral.
GACGAACGCUGGCGGCGUGCUUAACACAUGCAAGUCGAACGGAAAGGCCCUGCUUUUGUGGGGUGCUCGAGUGGCGAACGGGUGAGUAACACGUGAGUAACCUGCCCUUGACUUUGGGAUAACUUCAGGAAACUGGGGCUAAUACCGGAUAGGAGCUCCUGCUGCAUGGUGGGGGUUGGAAAGUUUCGGCGGUUGGGGAUGGACUCGCGGCUUAUCAGCUUGUUGGUGGGGUAGUGGCUUACCAAGGCUUUGACGGGUAGCCGGCCUGAGAGGGUGACCGGCCACAUUGGGACUGAGAUACCGCCCAGACUCCUACGGGAGGCAGCAGUGGGGAAUAUUGGACAAUGGGCGGAAGCCUGAUGCAGCAACGCCGCGUGCGGGAUGACGGCCUUCGGGUUGUAAACCGCUUUCGCCUGUGACGAAGCGUGAGUGACGGUAAUGGGUAAAGAAGCACCGGCUAACUACGUG